Corapipo altera (White-ruffed manakin) is the source of this 10566-nucleotide long non-coding RNA. RefSeq lists it as uncharacterized. Lineage: Eukaryota; Metazoa; Chordata; Aves; Passeriformes; Pipridae. The record is from RefSeq and is a predicted model, not a curated record. The transcript is spliced from 4 exons.
CCGUGCCGGGCUCGAGGCCGGGGGGGCGGCUCCGGCCCCGGGUCGGUCCCGCCGGGGUCGGCCUGUCCCCGCUCCGCUGGCGGGAGCGACGCCGCCCGCACCGCCGGAGGGGACGGAGCUGGCAGAGAGAGCUUUAAGCCGCUGCUAAGUACAUGAAGAGCGAAGGUUCGUGACCGGGGUUCAAAACCCUGCGGGGAAGCCCGGUGCACUGAGAGAGGCACGUUAGAUGACAUUCCUGACUGGAACAGAUACAACUGCAGUGUGAAUCCUCAUAUGGCUGCAAGCACGCAAUGCUGAUGUGGAAGUUAAGUGUCCUCAGCCACCCCUUCUCUCCCUGCAGUGAAGUCACCCUGUGUGUGCAGUGUCCAGGAGUACAGAGCUAUGGCUGCACUAACGUUGCUCACAGUUGUGUUGCUGUAACCAGGCUGGUACAGUUGUGAGUGCUAGAACAUAUGCCUAAAUAGCUAGAAAACUCUUGGCUAGGAAGAGAAAGUCCUGUUUCACCCCUUGCAUUAUCACUGCAGGGUAGUUGAUGACAGAAGGCAAAGCUUGCUGUGGUCUGUAGAAAUGACACUGACAGUCUGGUAAAUAUGAGUUUCAUCAGACAAAUUGAGCUAUGCGGUGACAAAGUUCAUCAGCUGCUAUGCCCUGCAGCACUAAAAUGUUAGCUCCCUUUCCCAUCCUGCUCAGUUUGCUCUUCAUUGGCUCUUGUAAGCAGAAAUCAUUACAUUUAGCAAGACAUACCUGCUUUUUUUAAAAAGUGCUUUCUACAUGUUGACUUCAGACUUUGUACUAGAGGUGUUUGCAUUGCUGAAAUAUUAAAAAAGCAAAUGAAAAGACUAAGAAAAUAUUUUCUGAAAUGUUUAAAAUGUAAUUUUUCCUUAAGAGUCAAUGUUCCACUGAAUAGUUAUGUAACAAUAUUUAAAUGCAGUCUUUUCUUGUUAGGCAUAAUGAAUAUAAUGUGAAGCUACAUCAAAAGACAGAAACAUACUACCAUGAAACAAACCCUUGUGAGUCCUGUGAUUCUUAGGAAAUCAUGUUUGGCUGAAAUUUAAUUUCUUUUAAGUUUUGUUACAAAGUCAAAAGCAAAAAAUUAAAAGUGCGAAGUAGACAUAGAUCUCCUCAUGCCUGAAGGUCCACUUCCACAUCUCAGUGUCUUUUAACAGUGUUAGACCAAGUUCCAGCAGGGAUUCACUCUCUGCUAGAUCUCCAAUCCUCUCAAGAGCAUUAGGCUUAGUGCCAGCAUUCAUUUACUCUUGUAACAGCUUAAAUUAACUCCUGUUACAUUCUAUCUAAACCCUUUCUUACAGAGUAAGGGUUGAGAGCUGGAUUCAGUCACCUAGUCUGAGGGCCACCCAUCAUGCUCGUCCAUCUUUCAGGGUUUCAAGUGCUGCAUAAGCUGGACUGAGGAAGGCGAUGAUCAGCCAUUGGUAAAUUGAAGGAGGGGCUGGCAAGCCAUCUUUUGUAUACAUGUCCCUAUUUCCUGAGGAAGAGCGUGGGGGUGGUCUGACUUAUUUACCCUAAGUACAUAUGACAGUAAGCUCCAAAAAAUUGUAAGAUCUGAGUAGGCUAGGCACUGUGCUAACAGUAUUUUGAUAACUUUCCUGGAGGAGCUGAACAGACAAGCUAAUUGAAAGACGGGAAAUAUCACUGCUUGGUUUUGCAGGUCAAGAACUGGACUGUAGAUUAUAUUUUGCCCAAACUCAGAUAGAAGACUGAAACAAAAUGUCUCACAAAGCCAGGCCUUCUUUAGCCCCUUCAAAAUUACAUUGGUCCUCUUUAAGAAUAUCACUUAUAUUUUACUUUAACGGACAUGAGAGCAAUCUGUCUGACUGUGAUUACAAGGCAAAUGCUCUGAAACAGGUAAGGAUAUAAGCACAAGGAAGACAAGUUUUCCUAAAGGUGAUAACACAAAAUAAGCACACUUAGAAAAGUACAGGAUAGUUGGUUAGAACUGAACAGUCAUUAAAGUUGGCCAGCUGAUACCUUGAUCUCUAUCCAGAGUCUCUAAAAUCCUGUACCAAGGUCUUCAUGAUGAAGGCUGAGAGUUGGCUUCAGGGACUUCCAAAGCUCUUUUGUAUUCUAGAAAGACUAUUAUUGGUAAAAUAUUUAGAACCUUUAAAGGUCAUCUAAUCCCCACACCCCCCCUCCAAUGAGCAGGAACAUAUUCAGCUAGGUCAGGUUGCUCAGAGCCCUUUUCAACCUUACCUUGAGUAUUUGCGUAAUUUUUACCCAUCCCUCUCCACAAGAAAAAAACCCCAAACAAACAACAAAUAGAGAAGAGAUCAGUUUCAAGGAAGCUGAAAUACCUUUCUCUGAUGAAUAAGUUUUAAGAUGACAAUGUGCUGUUAGUUUACAGAAAAUCCAGUUGUUUUGUAUGCUUUCAAGAUGAUGGAAAUGGAACUAAUUAUCAGACAGUCAACAUUCAUCCACUAGUAAAACUGAAAAUAAAUGUGAACAUUUUGUGGCUAGAUAACACUGUUCAGUCAUAAAUAAGAGUUCACAGUCAUCUUUGCAUUUAGGAGUACACUAUAAAUAUAGCUUAUCUUCAAAUAUUUUCAACUUGCUGGAGUUACUUGAAAGCUUAUCAUGAUAGAGUCCAUUUAAAAGGAAAAGAAUUAAAAUUUAUCUAAGAUAUGUGUCCCCAAAUACCUCUCAUAGCAUUCAUUUAUAUUGACCUUUCUAACAUACUGUCUUCCCACACUCUUUGUAUAUAGUUAGCUGAAAAAACACCUUGCUGGCAUUUGUAAAAAGUUCCCUAAAACUUCAGAAUUACUUUUUUUCAGUCAAGUUUAAAAACAGAGAAGAAAAGUUAAAAGCAAAAUUCUUACUUUAAAAAAAAUAAAUGUGAGAAUGGAAAAUACCAGUAAUGUAAUUGGAAAGAUUUUAAAAUACAGUUUCUAAGUUGUCAGUGACCUUUUUGUGAUAAAUAUUUGAUUCAUAAAAGAAAUGUUAUGCAGACUUUUAAAACACUGCUUUUAUGAAUAAAUACAGGUCAGAAAAUAAAAUAAAAAAUGCAGCUCAAAACUGAUAUUGUCUUGUGAAAGACUAUGCAUUUUUUUUAAUUUGAAAAAUAUGUUUGCUAUGACUUUCCGUGUAAGGCUGUAGGUCUCAAUUUUGUGACAAGUUACAUAUAUUAUGCCUAAUUUUAAGCAUUUUGGAAAAUUUUGUGGUCUGAAGCAAGUCUACUUUGACUGCAUAAAAUCAGCUGUAUACCUAAAUCUUUGAAGAGUGGGGACUUUCUUGCCAUUAGAUAAGAACUGUUGUUCAACUUCUAUUUUAUCUUUUAAAGAUAACAUCCCAUGGCAAUUUUGCAACAAUAAUAGAAGUUCCCUGAAAAUGCUUUAAGUAAUGGAAUUACAUUAUGUAUUUUAACUAUUAUAUUUUCCUCCUUUUUCCAGCUGAAUAAGUUAUACUUCAUUUUUCUUCCCUUCCAAACAUUCUUCUGUGGUGUUGCUAGCGCUGAUUAAAAAGGUAGACCUAUAUCUAAGUGAAAUCCUAUAAUUUUGACUUUUUACCUGUCUUUUUAUACACAUACCUAUGUGUACAUAUGUAUUUUGCCUACAAUAUAUUAAUCAUAGGUUUUCCUGAAAUCAUAUGUAAAUAUAAAAUUUUAUUGCAGGGACUUUACUGUAUUUCAGGGCGCGUUUCUUCUCUUUUCUUUCAUUAUCUGAAAUCAGUGUGAGCAUUGCAAUCAAUUUUAAUUAUACCAGUAUUUUACCCUGAGUUUUAUAGGAAGAGCUGGCAGCAACAACUAUAGUUAAGGUUGCUUAAGACUUUCCACUGUAUAGAUUCUGUACUUAAAAAAGAGAGGGAUAGAAAUUGUACAUAAGAGUACAAUAAAACAUGUUAAGAUUAGCAAAGUUAAUUUUAUCUGUGUUACUUGAAAAACUAGAAGGAUUUAUUAGGGACUCUGACUUUAUAUUUUUAAAUGCAAUGUGACUGAGACUGAUAUAAUUUUAAAUAAUUAUUGUUAUGAAGUUCAAAAAAUACUAUAAAGAUGGCAAAGACAUUACUUCACAGUAUUACUUAAGAAACAAUUAUAGAAUUAUCAGUAUUUUAACCUGUAAAAUAUUUUUAAAAUAUAUGUUUUCUGGGAAUGUUGAAGUAGAAAAUGUAUCAUAUACCUUCUUGUUUCUUUUCCCAGACCACUCUCUAAAGCUACUAUUAAUAACACGUUGCAGUACUACUGUGAUUUAUUAAUGCAAGUUACCUUAAUUAUAACAUCUUUAAUACUGCUGAAGAUGGUGAAUUAUAUAUAAUCAUUUCUGUGAAAAAGAAAGGAAUUAUAAAACUCUAAAUUACUGUUUUCUGUAAUGUAUUCCAUUAUUUCAAGUAGUGUUUUCUCCUUUUGCUCACAAUACUAUUUAUGAGCUUUGGUUACACCUACUUUUGUGUAAGCAUGGGAAGGCAUGAUUAUUUUUCAAAUAUGUAUGUGUAGUUGUUUAGUAACUAAACUUAGUAUAGGGUCCAAUCUAAGCUAAUAGAAUGAGUGUGUGGUAGACACAUACCUUCACUAUAAAAGAUUCUCUCAUCCUUUCCUAAAAGAUUUAAAAGUCCUAAUACAAAGUUCAUUGUAGUCAGCAGAAUCUCUUUCCAUAGGUUUCUGCAUUUGGCAGUUGCAGAGCUGAAAAACAGCUUUGCUAUCUGUGUAAAUAUUGUGGGCAGUCUUGGUAUAUUUGCUAGUGAGGAAUUCCUCAGUCUGUAGCUACAUCAAACUAGACUACUGGAUCCACUCACAAAGGCUUAGUAAUAGUGUCAUUAAUAAAAUCUCUGAAGGAACUAUGGACAAAGCUGCUCUUUGGGGAGUGGUCCCCACUUGGCACCAUUCAGGCAGGAGCUGUUGGCUGAGUACACCCAGAGAGGUUUUUAGUCCAUUACAGAACCCUUUUCUAAAGGAGGGAAGUGUCUUGAAGGAACUUGAGGGAGUUGGUACUCUGCAAUAUUUGAAUUGCAUGCGUCCAAGGAGGCAUAAGAUAUACAAAGAGCAAAAAGCUGAGAUACACAGACUGUCUCAUGUUCACAAGGGUUAGGAAGUCUCCUGUUCACGUGACAUUUACAGUGUUUAUGGGUCUCAUGUUCCCGCAGCUUAGGUGUAGAUUCUCUGUAUCUGGUCUGUAAUGGAGAGAUUAAGUUGGAGCAGCCCAGAGCACAGCUAGAACACCUGCAUGAUGGGGGUUCUGGUCCCUGAGCUCUCGUUCAUGUAGCACAAAAGAUGUAUCCCUACAGUAUUGGUAGGAUCCACAGCAAAACAGCUGUAACUUCAUUUCUGAGGAAAGGAGACUGGUGAGAUUAAACCAUGUGCAAUGGAGGUUUUCACUGAAAGGCAGGAGUAUGUAAGACAUGGCUAAGAUUCAUCCCACUAAAAAUAAAUGUGUACAUACAGGUUCUGCACCUGAAUUUAUCACCUUAUGCUCUCUCUAAUGGGGGGAAGUGUGCAUCUCUGUGUCAUGACUUGUCUCGUUCCGAGAUGGGUGUUUAAAGUGGCUCAGUUGAGUCUCAACCAAAGAAAUAUCCGUAUCACUCUUUCUGGCUUUAAGGGGAACUGAGAUAAUUUUUAUUCAGCUGUAAAUAUCUGUGAACUGCUUUUCUUUUCUGCUUAUGGUUGCUGCAGAGAUUCUUGAAAAGGAACUCUUGCAGAUCUGGAUAUCAAACCUGCUGGGCACAUAUGCUGUCAGAGUUGGCAACAAAAGAGAUAGUCAGGCACAGUUUGAUUAUGGGUUGCCACCCUGAUGACAGAUGAAAGCAGGGAUGUGUUACUUCAAGAUGCAGCUGAGGGAAGAAUAUCUUAUUGCUGUUGCAUGGGAAAAGUUGUGAUAUCCUCCCUCCCUGUGUACUAACUUGUUACUAGGCCUAUGAACAUCUGUAUUUGUAAGCACUGGAAUUUACAUCUUUUUUAUGUCUUGACUUGGAUGAAAAAUAUGUGUAUCUUCUGUCAGUUCAGACAUUAGUCUAUCAUCUGCUGCAGAGAGAGCUUGGAGAGAGCUGACAAAAUUAAAUGAUCCAGUGUUCUGGAGGAUACCUGCCUACUUGCCUGUGGUAGUUGAAGGCACUUAAAGAGUGCUUGCCUUACCGUGCUAAGUUGCCCCUAAGAUUAGCUGGGUGGGGCUCUGUGAGAAGGGAGAGGGUGACUGAUGACUAUUGUUCUCCACAGCAGCAAGAUAAACUGCCAUUUUGACUCAGACGAUCUGAGGUCAGUCAGAAGCCUCCCACAUCAUAAGCCUUGAGAAGCUCCAGGAAGCUGGCACCAGUGAAGAACUUAGGACCAGCAGAGUCUGUAGGUAAUGUGCUGGAAACCAGGGACUAUCCAUGGCGUGAUCUUACCCCAAAUCUACCCAUGACAGCGAUCUGUUACACCUGAUAACAUCUCAGCACCCAAAACAGCCCACUGCUAUUACCAGGCCUGGAUUGACGAAGUGGAAGGCAAGCUUGAGGAAUAAGUAUUGCAUUAUUAUAUUGAAUAAAUGGUAGGCUAGCAGUUGUUGUUACAGAUUAAGUAGGGUCUAAAUGACUUAACACCCAUGGAAUCUCCACCUGUUGUCUUCUCCUCUUAGUCUACUCUCCACCUUAAUCUCUUUUUUUAUAACCUCUAUUUUAUUGUAAGUAAUAUUGUGCGUAUUCAGCAACUAGGUUGACUUGCUGAUCACCAUAAACUCAACUGCCACUGGUAGUUGGAGAGGUACCAGAAUCCCUCCAGGGAGAGCCACAGGAGACUCUGCUGCUCUGAAAGGUUAGGGUACCUCAUCAAGAACUAAGUAGUACGGCAUCUGUGGAGGGUCACUAGAGGUUGAUUACCUUGUGUUUUGUACCAUGGACUGCAUUAGGCUGAAAUGACUUGUCUAAGAUCUUAAAACAAGGCAGUGACAGAGCUGGAAAUAAUCUCUGAAGGUAAAUGCUAUUUGUAGCAUAUUUUCUGCCAUUAUUGCCUUUUUGGGUGGUUUCUGGUUGAUUACUGCAAAUGAAAAAAAUAAAAUAAAAUUUCUGCAUUACUGAACUUUUGGCAUCCACGUUUGAUUUUAAAUCCAAGGAUGUCUGUGUCUGUCUUAUGUCACUACUGAUCCACUUUCUUAAAUCCACCUUACAUGUCCUACAGAAAUGGGUUUAGACAUUAAAAUCAUCUGUCCUGCCUUCUCCUGUGCAUCCUGGAGUUACAAUACUAAUACUGUACAAAACACAACCCUAUUGUCAUAGAGAUAAUAAUAUUAGGUGUUAGGCUUGUGAAUAAAAGGGAGAGUUUAUACUGUUUUCUAGUAAAUCAGAGGAAUGGUAAGAUGUUUACUCACAAAAGGUAUCUUGCCUGGUUUCUCCAUACUUGAUACUACAUUGGCAGUUAUGAAACUAGAAAUUACUGUUGUGUUUUUACACAAAAGGAGAAAUUCUGCAAGAGAAAAUUUAAUGCAAUUUGGACCACUUUUUAGUCUUCAGAAUCUACCACAUUUUCCCUGCCACCCAAAUUAUUAAAAUUAUAAGUAGUUUUGCAAGGCUGUUAGUAUUAUUUUCUCAGCUCACCCAAAGUUUUUGCAAGACUUAUUAUCUAUGAUGAAUCACAACAUCUUUUAUUCAUAUAGUUAUAAGUGCAUUAAAGCUGUCAGGUAUAAUUUGCCGCUUUUUCUUCUUUUGAUUCAGCAUGCUUUCUGAAAAGAAGCUAAUUUAAUAACUAAAGAAUCUAAGUUUUAUAAUCAAAUUUAUUAUAUUUACCAGACCUGAAUUUCAGAUGGGAUAACAUUAAAAAUGUGCUUGAAAAGAGCAGAAUUGCCAGUGGGCAUUGAAUUAGCAGCCUGAAAAAUAUCUAAUAAUGUUGUGAUCAAGAGUGUUAUGAUGAUGAGAGAAGGAAGAGGAAUUCCUUUUGUCUUUAUCUGUAGCUUUUACAUAUUGUGCAAACUGAAAUGAAGGGUAGAACCUCAGCCCAAAGCUUCAAUUCAGGGGAAAGAGUGUUCUGUUUUUAGAUUUUUUAGUGAUUUUCAGUGUGCCUAUAUAACGUGGUGCUGCAACGCUGCCUACAAAUCUCUAAAUUACUGCUAGAGAAGUAGAUGCUGCUGUUUAUGUGCAUAUACGAGCACUUGCCACUGUACACUGGGUGCCAGAUGUAAUCCCAUGAGUUCUGCAUCCAACAAAUUUCUGCUGAAUUCUGGAUGAGGUUUGUGCUUGGAAGGCUUCUGGAUCAAGGUUUCCUGUCAGAAAGUGCUCUAUAAAAGACCUGUUCAAAAUGAACAGAACAAAAACCCAACAAAAGCAAGUCUUUUCCUGUUGCUCAUGUGAGUCUCCUCUGACUCUUGGUCCCCUAACCCUCUUAACCAAAUUUGUGGCACAGAUUGUAUUUUAUUUACAGAUAGAGGUUAAGACAGCCUGUUAUUUUGCGAUCACAUUAGUUUCAUUUGUACUGUGGAGAUUUUUAAUUCCCAAAGGUGCUGCCAGUUUUUGGAUGCACAAUUUAAGUUUAAGCAGAGUUUUUCUUUUUCCCAAGGACUUCUACAGACUUUCAGGUAUUUAAAAUAUGAAGUUGUGGUUCUCUUUGAUUCAUCGUCUGUUAAAGAAUGUUGGCUGUACUAAAACUGGCAAUGAGGCUAAACAAGAAUAAAAAAGAAGUAUUCCAGAGAACCAAAAUAUGGUAGAGUAUUUGUCUUCUGAAGCCACACCAAAGCAUGACUAAGAUGAAAGGCAAGGCUGCAGUGGAAUUUGAAGAUGAGAUGGCUCCAUACUGAGAGCAGAACUGGAGAUGAGAUCAAAGAUGAUUGAAUUGAGUUGAUUGCACCUUCCUGAAUAGGUAAAGAAGCAGGAAAGUGUAAGAACCUUUCAAUAAUUAUAAGCAAUUAGAGGGAAAAAAACAAACCCCAGAAGACGAGACGUAAAAACAGCUCACAUGACAUUGCAAUCUCAUAGUUUAUGUUGUCAGCAAAAAGAAGUUGGAUGAAUUUCUGCAGACUCAACAGUAAUUGCCAUGCAGCAGCAGUUAGUACUAUGGAAAUGCUGGAACUGAAGGGAACCAGCUAGCCUGUAGUGACUGGGAACAGAUGUCCUCUGAAGAGCAUGAGACAGCAUUCUGCAAUGUGAGAGAAAUCUUUGCCUAUCAGUCUAAACUGGUGACUGGGACAAGUUUCUCUCAUGAGAUAGGAAUUUUACAUUUUUCCUUCUUUUGUGUCACUAGAUACCUAGUCUGGUUCUCAGUGGAGAUGUAACAGUCUAUUUUUGUAAAUGCAUCCUAAUGGACUUUAAUUUUUAGCAGUUACAUAUAUUCGAAAUAUCAGCAUUAGGACUAACAGGGGUGCCUGCAUUUGUGGAUAUAUUCAAGGAGUUUAAUGUCAGGAAUAGUUCCUCUCCAUCUUAGUGUGAAUUAAUGUUUUGUAAUGAUCUGGAUGUAACUGACCUUGAGUUGAGCAGUUUAUAUUCCUUGUUGGAUUAAGAGGGGUUAAGCUCAUGCAGUUCUAUACAAUUGAGCAGUUUUAACUGGAGCCACUUGUGUGAAUCUUGCCUCAGGAGGUUUGAGGUUACUGCCUAAUAUUUUUGGCCAGUGGACAGAAGUAGGAUUUGCAUUUUCAGCCUGACAAAGAUGGCUGAAGUAUUGAGGGUCAAAGCAGCCACAGUCAGCCCUGAGUCCCCAAACACACAAUAGCUGCGAGCUGUACGCCCAUGCUACCCAACUAAAGUGAAAGGGAGGAGUCAGACUGCUCUGUCUGAUAGGAAAAGGAGUAAAGACUGAUCUCUGUGCUUAAAUGCUGUUCAAAAGAUACAAAAAAUGUAUCAUUUUACCUUCUACUCAGGAAUAGCUUAUCUAAGAACUGCUCUUGAAAGGAAUUGCUAGAAAGGCCAGUUACAGGCAGAAUUUAGUAUUGAACUUUGAAGUGUUCUUCGUCUCAUGGUGUAUAUUGAUUGCAUGCUGUCUUGUUGCCUGCACCAGCUUUUCUUCUCAGUUUUCUUAAGAAGAAUCAUGUGAAUAAAAAGGUACCAUGAAUAAAAAAGUACCAUGCUUAUUAGCCUUCGUGGCAGCUCAUGUCUGUUCUCCAUAACCUGGCAGGAUUACCCCUGUGACUACUCAAAUACUCUAAAGCAAAGAUCAUAGCUGUAUAUCCUAUGAAAUAGGAAACCUUCAGUGAUUUCUGUGGAUCCCAUGAAAUAGGAAACCUGUAGCGAUUUAGGUUGGGUUGACAUAAUUUUCAGAAGGGCUAAGGAAGUAUGAAGUGAUGUAAAGUGAUUAUUUUAAAUUUUCAUGUGAAAAAAAUACCACAGAUUAAUGGAAAUGUAAUCUCGCUACAAAAAGAUGAGGCCAGGAAUUUAAAACAGCCAGGAGCUUAAAAUCAGGCACUGAAAUCAUUAUCCUUACUUAGGUCAUAAGUAAAUAAAUAGUUAAAGACAUUAAGGAGUCACAUCAACCCCAUGCUAUAGAUUUGGAGAAGAGUAGCUGGGAAGCUGCCCAGAGGAAAAGAAUGUUGGGGUGCUGGUUGACAGCAGCUGAACAUGGGCCAGCAGUGUGCCCAGGUGGCCAAGAACACCAAUGGCACCCUGACCUUUAUCAGCAACAAUGUGGCCAGCAGGACCAGGGCAGUGAUUGUCCCCCUGUACUUUGCACUG